This 153-nucleotide small RNA is filed under the name Mytilus galloprovincialis (Mediterranean mussel). The record is from RNAcentral. Lineage: Eukaryota; Metazoa; Mollusca; Bivalvia; Mytilida; Mytilidae.
UUGGGAAAUCGGAAAAUCGAGAAAGCGAGAAAUCGGGAAAUCGAGACAUUAAGAAAGCUAAAACGCGAAAUAGAGAAAUUCAUUUCGCGUUUUCGCUUUCUUGAUUUCUCGAUUUCUUGAUUUCUUGAUUUCUCAAUUCCCCGGUUUCCCGAU